CUCUCCAUGCCACACCCUCUCUCUUCUUUUUCCAAUGCCCAAAGGUUGGGCAUCCCACCCUUCUACAUGUCAAGGUUGAGAAGAUCUUCUUCUACAGUGAACAACGAGAAGAAGAAGGUUGUAGUUUAAGAGUUGAUUCCGCAGUCAAGAUCAAAGCGUUGAUCAAUGGUUCUAAAGGGCUAAGAUCCUACUUAGAGAAAAAAAAUCUAUG
This 211-nucleotide long non-coding RNA is filed under the name Elaeis guineensis (African oil palm). RNAcentral's name for it is "long non-coding RNA (EGUI_LNC042115)". The record is from RNAcentral. Lineage: Eukaryota; Viridiplantae; Streptophyta; Magnoliopsida; Arecales; Arecaceae.